Long non-coding RNA from Gasterosteus aculeatus aculeatus (three-spined stickleback), 1164 nucleotides. The record is from Ensembl. NCBI's taxonomy places the organism in Eukaryota, Metazoa, Chordata, Actinopteri, Perciformes, Gasterosteidae.
CGAGGAUGGGAUGGACGCGUGAUCUGGACUCUGACGGACGGACAGGAGGCCAUAUAGUAUAGGUGAUUCCUCCCUGAGGGUGAGAAGCUGCCGUCCCGACGAGACCCGGAUUGCCGAUCCAUCCAGUUCAAGAAAAAGAAACGACGAACACGCGAUGACAGAGAGCUUCAUGACUGUGUCGAAGUCUUGCAGCAGACAUGCAUACCAAGGCCUGAUCUGUUGGACACACCUCUUCCCAAUGCAGAUCUUGAGCUGUUUGUAGACGGCUCCGCUUCUCGCUCACCAGACACGGGCAGCGGUCAGGUUGGGUUUUCAGUGGUUACAUCACACAGCACACUUGUUAGUGGCAGGCUUCCUUCACACUUCUCAGCACAGGCGGUAGAGUUGAUUGCACUUGCCGAGGCAUGUAAAGCAGCUGAAGGUAAAACAGUUAACAUCUUCGCUGAUUCACGUUAUUCUUCUGGUGCGGAGCUCUUUAGAGACACAGGGGGUUCCUUACGUCAUCUGGCAAGCCUAUUGCACAUCAUACCCUUGUGUCUGCUUUUCUGGAUGCCAUUUUACUACCCAGAGCCAUUGCAGUCAUUAAACGUGGAGCUCACACCUCUUCUCUUGACCCUGUAUCUGUAGGAAACAGGGGCGCGGAUGCGGCUGCGAAGAAGGCAGCCUCGCAGGGCUUCCUUUUCCCCCUGGCUCACAUGCUUUCCACACCGACCGAUCCUAGUCCUUAUGCCGAUCUUUCAACACUUCGGCCUCUUGCCGGUGCACAGGAGCGUUCCCUGUGGCAACGAUCUGGUGCCAUUCUUGAGGGCGGAAUCUGGACAGGGCCGGACAGUAGGCCCUGUUUGCCACGUGCUCUCUUCUACAUUUAUGCUAAGUUGUCUCACGGAAAAGAUCACGUGGGCAAAGGGGGGAUGUGCACUGCUAUAAAUGAGCAUGCUGAGAUAUUGUGCUAACCUCUCCCCUUCACUCUCAGCACUGCACGAAGAGGUGAAAGCGGCGCUUCCAUCCACAGCUACAGCAAUGCAGCACCACCUGAAACCAGGAGACUGGGUCCUCAUUAAGGAUCACUGGAGGAAGCACUGGAAGCAGAGACGCUACACGGGGCUCUUCCAAGUACUCCUGACCACGGAGACGGCAGUUAAGGUGGAAGGGAAAGCGACGUGG